UACGGGGGGGGCAAGCGUUGUUCGGAAUUACUGGGCGUAAAGGGCUCGUAGGUGGCCAACUAAGUCAUACGUGAAAUCCCUCGGCUUAACCGGGGAACUGCGUCUGAUACUGGAUGGCUUGAGGUUGGGAGAGGGAUGCGGAAUUCCAGGUGUAGCGGUGAAAUGCGUAGAUAUCUGGAGGAACACCGGUGGCGAAGGCGAGUCUCUGGACGACUCCUGACACUGAGGCACGAAAGCCAGGGGAGCAAACAGG
This 253-nucleotide ribosomal RNA is filed under the name uncultured bacterium. RNAcentral describes it as "partial 16S ribosomal RNA". It matches the Rfam family "Bacterial small subunit ribosomal RNA", at positions 524 to 776 of the family's 1533-position model. The record is from RNAcentral.